GAUGAACGCUAGCGGCAGGCUUAACACAUGCAAGUUGAGGGGCAGCAUGAACAAUAGCAAUAUUGUUUGAUGGCGACCAGCGCACGGGUGCGUAACACGUAUGCAAUCUACCUUAUACUGGGGCAUAACUCCGAGAAAUCGGUGCUAAUUCCCCAUAACACUACAGAGUGGCAUCACUCCAUAGUUAAAGUUCCGGCGGUAUAAGAUGAGCAUGCGUCCAAUUAGCUAGUUGGUGAGGUAACGGCUCACCAAGGCUACGAUUGGUAGGGGUUCUGAGAGGAUGAUCCCC
This 289-nucleotide ribosomal RNA is filed under the name uncultured bacterium. Its description in RNAcentral is "partial 16S ribosomal RNA". It matches the Rfam family "Bacterial small subunit ribosomal RNA", at positions 28 to 308 of the family's 1533-position model. The record is from RNAcentral.